RNAcentral lists this long non-coding RNA (2037 nucleotides) under Felis catus (domestic cat). RNAcentral's name for it is "lncRNA (ENSFCAG00000051098.1)". The record is from RNAcentral. Lineage: Eukaryota; Metazoa; Chordata; Mammalia; Carnivora; Felidae.
GUGUGGUGGGGCGGGGGUGGUGUGGAUAAAAGAAGCCAGACUUUUUAGUUAUUGUCCAGCCCGGGGAGUGUUUGCAGGUGGCUGCUGGAAAGUUUUCGCUACAAUUUACUACAGUUUGCAGGAAACUCUAGACGUGAGAGUGUGGGACGUGGGGUAAAUGCCAACGCCGGGAGGGACAAGCCACAGAGAGCUAAUGGCCCAUUGUCCGGGCCUGUCGUGUGGUCUCCUCAGGGGCCAGGCCCUCUCUAGACAGAGCCCUGGCAACAGUCCCUCAGCUGCUCCGUCAGCCAUUGGCAGCCACUCCUGGGGACAAGGCGCUUCUGUGUCCCUCCCCACUAGAACUCCGCCACGGGCCAAGAGACUGACCCCGGAAUCAGCAGCAGCUUUCAACUUGAGCCUUUUGUAAGUGAACAAUGGUUAACUCUGGCUCUCAGAGGACCUCAGAGGCAGCUCCUUUCACAGUGGGAUUUCCUUCCUUGUGGGUUUUCCCAGCUGUCUUUGUCUUGGGUCAUGUCUAACAGAUGUCUGUGGCCUUGAAGAGCCUUCUGAAAAACCGGUGACAGCUAGACCUGGGGUCCUUCCGGGAAAACUGCAGCGAGGGCCCUUCCGAGGUCAGCUGGGGCCUUGGCAGGAACAACACCGGCACAUCGCAGGAUGCCUCUCCCUCCCCCAUCCUCUAGGAGUCACAGAGAACUUGCAGGGAGAUGGAAGAGAUAGAAUCCGAUGCAGUCAGAUGGAGAUAAAAAUCAAAUUCCAAGAAUUCCUCUUCUGGGGGCCUCCUGCAAAUGUAUGAAGAGCUCCUGAAGCAUGUGAAAUAUGAAACUGCAAGCUGGAUGGCUUCAUCGCAGGUUAAUGACAAAGCUGAGUGCCGUGGAUCAUAUUUUCCAAAAAUGGCUGCAACAACAUCUCUCAUUGCACAUGCUUUUCAGCAAAGUGACCUUCCCGCUCCCCAGGAGGAGGGGCACUUGAUGUCUCCACACCCUGGAAUCUGGGUGGGCCCCAUGGCUGCUUUCAUCAAUAGGAUACCGUGGAAAUAAUGUCGCCACAAUUCUGAGCAAAGCCUUCACUGGUCUGGCAGCUUCGGCUUCCUACCCUUUGAAACACUCAGUCCUGGAAUGCUCCUCUGGAAACCCAGCCACCAAACCGUGAGAAGCUCAAGUCACAGAGGAAGGCUCACAUAAGUCAACAGCCCCAUCGGGGCCAUCAUUGCUGGGGGCUAUUCUACACCAUGAUGGGAUCUUACAGGAUGACCAGCCCAUCCUGUUCAGUCUUCAGGUGACUGCAUUCCUAGCUGCCAUGAUAUCAGGCUGCAGUCACAUGGGAGAUUUGGAGCAAGAACCACAUGGCUGAGCCCGGUCAACUCACAGAACCAUGAGAGAUAACAAUAGAUUGUUAUUUAAGCUGUUAUAUUUUGGAGUAGUUUGUUACUCAACAAUAGAUACCCUAAACACUAAGAUUAGGGAUUAAGCCGUGGGCCAAGGACAGCCAUAAAUGCAGGCCCAUGGUCAUGAAGGGAAUGGGGCAGUGGAAUGUGAGUGGUCAGGUGACAUCUGACCCCACAAGGGCAAGACACUGCAGGAUAAAUGCCCAGGGUGUGGGAUGAGUAACAGGACAGGAGACUGGAUUCUGGCUCUCACCUCAAGCUCCAGCUUUGUCACCUAAGUGGAAACAAAUCCUACAGGGUGUUAUGAGGAUUAAACAAAAAGGCGUAAAUGAAGAUACUUUACACUCUAUGAGCCUUUCCCAGAAGGUAUCAUUACAAUUUCCUACAGAUGGUUGGAUGCUAACGAGUUGUUAGUAUCUGAAGGUGGUGUAUCCCAUGAAGCUUUAUCAUGAAUGGGCUUCUGCUUGGAAGUGCUUCAUAGCAACCCCGAGAAGCAAUUCUUAAGUCAUAAUCAUACACGUCCCCCACCAGGGGUCUGUUGAGUUCUCCACAUUCAUUCAGUCAGUCCGUCCUUCCUUCACUCACUAAUUACUUGAGGGCUAAGUACAUGCCACACAGUGUUGUAGGCACUGGGCACAGAGCAGUGAGCAAAA